This 722-nucleotide ribosomal RNA is filed under the name uncultured bacterium. RNAcentral describes it as "bacterial SSU rRNA". It matches the Rfam family "Bacterial small subunit ribosomal RNA", at positions 61 to 772 of the family's 1533-position model. The record is from RNAcentral.
GUCGAGGGGCAGCAAGGUCUUAGCUUGCUAAGGCCGAUGGCGACCGGCGCACCGUUGAGUAACACGUAUCCAACCUGCCGUCUACUCUUGGACAGCCUUCUGAAAGGAAGAUUAAUACAAGAUGGCAUCAUGAGUCCACAUGUUCACAUGAUUAAAGGUAUUCCGGUAGACGAUGGGGAUGCGUUCCAUUAGAUAGUAGGCGGGGUAACGGCCCACCUAGUCUUCGAUGGAUAGGGGUUCUGAGAGGAAGGUCCCCCACAUUGGAACUGAGACACGGUCCAAACUCCUACGGGAGGCAGCAGUGAGGAAUAUUGGUCAAUGGGCGAGAGCCUGAACCAGCCAAGUAGCGUGAAGGAUGACUGCCCUAUGGGUUGUAAACUUCUUUUAUAAAGGAAUAAAGUCGGGUAUGGAUACCCGUUUGCAUGUACUUUAUGAAUAAGGAUCGGCUAACUCCGUGCCAGCAGCCGCGGUAAUACGGAGGAUCCGAGCGUUAUCCGGAUUUAUUGGGUUUAAAGGGAGCGUAGAUGGAUGUUUAAGUCAGUUGUGAAAGUUUGCGGCUCAACCGUAAAAUUGCAGUUGAUACUGGAUAUCUUGAGUGCAGUUGAGGCAGGCGGAAUUCGUGGUGUAGCGGUGAAAUGCUUAGAUAUCACGAAGAACUCCGAUUGCGAAGGCAGCCUGCUAAGCUGCAACUGACAUUGAGGCUCGAAAGUGUGGGUAUCAAA